RNAcentral lists this ribosomal RNA (252 nucleotides) under uncultured prokaryote. RNAcentral's name for it is "partial 16S ribosomal RNA". It matches the Rfam family "Bacterial small subunit ribosomal RNA", at positions 526 to 777 of the family's 1533-position model. The record is from RNAcentral.
CGGAGGAUGCAAGCGUUAUCCGGAUUCAUUGGGUUUAAAGGGUGCGUAGGCGGGCUAUUAAGUCAGUGGUGAAAUCCUGCAGCUUAACUGCAGAACUGCCGUUGAUACUGAUAGUCUUGAGUUUGGUUAAGGUAGGCGGAAUGUGUAAUGUAGCGGUGAAAUGCUUAGAUAUUACACAGAACACCAAUUGCGUAGGCAGCUUACUGAGCCGACACUGACGCUGAGGCACGAAAGCGUGGGGAUCAAACAGGA